GACGAACGCUGGCGGCGUGCCUAAUACAUGCAAGUAGAACGCUGAAGGAGGAGCUUGCUUCUCUGGAUGAGUUGCGAAAGGGUGAGUAACGCGUAGGUAACCUGCCUGGUAGCGGGGGAUAACUAUUGGAAACGAUAGCUAAUACCGCAUAAUAGUAGAUGUUGCAUGACAUUUGCUUAAAAGGUGCAAUUUCCUCACUACCAGAUGGACCUGCGUUGUAUUAGCUAGUUGGUGGGGUAACGGCUCACCAAGGCGACGAUACAUAGCCGACCUGAGAGGGUGAUCGGCCACACUGGGACUGAGACACGGCCCAGACUCCUACGGGAGGCAGCAGUAGGGAAUCUUCGGCAAUGGACGGAAGUCUGACCGAGCAACGCCGCGUGAGUGAAGAAGGUUUUCGGAUCGUAAAGCUCUGUUGUAAGAGAAGAACGAGUGUGAGAGUGGAAAGUUCACACUGUGACGGUAUCUUACCAGAAAGGGACGGCUAACUACGUG
Molecule: ribosomal RNA, 495 nt
Filed under: uncultured bacterium
Lineage: Bacteria
Description: partial 16S ribosomal RNA
Rfam family: Bacterial small subunit ribosomal RNA
Source: RNAcentral